ACGGCUACCUUGUUACGACUUAGCCCCAGUCACCGGUUUUGCUCUAGGGCGCGCCUCGCGGCGACGCACUUCAAGCACCCCCGGCUCCCAUGGCUUGACGGGCGGUGUGUACAAGGCCCGGGAACGUAUUCACCGCGCCAUGGCUGAUGCGCGAUUACUAGCGAAUCCAGCUUCACGGAGUCGGGUUGCAGACUCCGAUCCGAACUGAGACCGGUUUUCGGGUUCCGCUCGGCGUCGCCGCCUGGCUUCCCGCUGUACCGGCCAUUGUAACACGUGUGUCGCCCCGGACGUAAGGGCCGUGCUGAUUUGACGUCAUCCCCGCCUUCCUCGCGGCUUGCGCCGGCAGUCCCGACAGAGUCCUCGGCUUCACCCGUUAGCAACUGUCGGCAGGGGUUGCGCUCGUUAUGGCACUUAAGCCGACACCUCACGGCACGAGCUGACGACAACCAUGCAGCACCUCGGAAGACGUCCGUGGAAGAGGGCGUCUCCGCCCCUGUCGUCUCCCGUUUGAGCCCGGGUAAGGUUCCUCGCGUAUCAUCGAAUUAAACCACAUGUUCCUCCGCUUGUGCGGGCCC
Molecule: ribosomal RNA, 575 nt
Filed under: uncultured bacterium
Lineage: Bacteria
Description: partial 16S ribosomal RNA
Source: RNAcentral